Molecule: long non-coding RNA, 748 nt
Filed under: Monodelphis domestica (gray short-tailed opossum)
Lineage: Eukaryota; Metazoa; Chordata; Mammalia; Didelphimorphia; Didelphidae
Description: lncRNA (ENSMODG00000035757.2)
Source: RNAcentral
AUGACUGAAUCUCCCAGAAAGGCGAUUAUGCAGCCUCCGCUUAUCACUGAGCAAGAGUCAUGGUGCAUGGAUGUAAUGGAAAAUCAUCUGCAAGAAGCAAUGGACAUAAUGAAUUCAGAAAAGCAUCUACAGAUACAAAGUGAAGUGAUUGGAGACUCUGACCUUGUGAGUUCUGAAUGGUGGGGAGACCAAGCAUCCUGGGCAGCCUGGUAUCUCAAUUUUGUGGCCAGACCAGCACUGAUGCCCCAAAGAACAAAUAAUUACCUUUGGCAGUGGUCCAGUCCAGUUGCAGCCAAGAUAAAAAUUCUUCUGGAAGUUAUUCACAUUUGGACAGGAAGUUGGUGGUACCAACCAUAUGGAUAAACUGAGCUGAGUCUAAGCAUACUCUCCCUAGAGACCAAAGUGGGCUGGAGAAGCAUGUGCUUUCUAAGUAUUAUGAGAGAUAUUUGUAAUUUUGUAUGUGCUCAAAUUAAACAUCUCUUUAUAAGAGCUGAUUAAUUUAAAGUAGUUGAAUGGAUCUGGGGUGCUAGUUAUAUACCUCACAGAAGGAAAGAAUACAGCCAAUAGAAGUCUUUCCUGGGUAAUUGUCCUGGCCAUGAGUGAACUAGAGUUUACAUUAGCACUUAAUGGUGUUUGGGUAGGGAAGGUCAGAUGGAUUUAUAUGGAAAUCAGUUAGUCAUUAAGCAUUAUUAAACAUAGAUUAAAUGCCUACUAAGCAUCAGCCAUUGUGCUAGGGACUGGGGAGGAG